Aegilops tauschii subsp. strangulata is the source of this 733-nucleotide long non-coding RNA. RefSeq lists it as uncharacterized. NCBI's taxonomy places the organism in Eukaryota, Viridiplantae, Streptophyta, Magnoliopsida, Poales, Poaceae. The record is from RefSeq and is a predicted model, not a curated record.
UACAUUUUUCUCUCGUGAAGGAGGGGGUCGCUCAUGUUCAUUUCCACCAGUCCAGUCGUUUUCCUCUCUGCCAGGCAGUGCUCCAGCCUCCAGGCGGCGGCGAGUUUGAGAGUGAGAAGGGAGGAGAGAGGCCCCAACGAAGAUGGUGUGCCCACUCUACCAUUGAUAUUGCGAGAAUGACGACCAGCAGAGCUUUGGCAUAUUCAUCCGCGGCGGCUCUGAAGAUUUAGCGAACAUCCCAUGCAACUCGAGGGGUUUGACUUGGUGUUAGUAGCGCAUCCCAUGCAACGACCCCGGGUUCGACUCGAGGACGCGGGGGGCGGGGGGAGGGCCAACAUGCUGACCAGCCGGAGGAAUCAGUGUGCUAGUCCCAACAGCCGGAUGAAUGCUGUUGUUGCAAACUCAUGAACCUGAGGGGGAAAUGAGUAAGGGGGAUACAUCGGCAGCAAACGUGCUCCACUGUUCAAACAUUGCUACUGGAUAUUGACUGCAUAGGCUGCAAUCAAAAUAGAACAAUAAGUUUUCUGUUUUUUGUUCCAUGUAAAUUAUUGAGCAAUGUUUUCUCUUUGAUUUUCCAUAAAUCUUGCCUGAGUCCCAAUGUAGUCCCCUGUAUAGUUAUCUUCAUGACCUAUAGUCAAGAGUUCCAAAAUGAAUAAUUAUGAUGUUCACAAUCUUUUCUUUUGUCUAUGCUACAAAUUUUGAAUAUCAUGCUUCAUAGAAAUGUUCUCACUCA